This 433-nucleotide ribosomal RNA is filed under the name uncultured bacterium. Its description in RNAcentral is "partial 16S ribosomal RNA". It matches the Rfam family "Bacterial small subunit ribosomal RNA", at positions 29 to 507 of the family's 1533-position model. The record is from RNAcentral.
AACGAACGCUGGCGGCAUGCCUAACACAUGCAAGUCGAACGAGACCUUCGGGUCUAGUGGCGCACGGGUGCGUAACGCGUGGGAACCUGCCCUUAGGUUCGGAAUAACUCUCCGAAGGGGGUGCUAAUACCGGAUAAUGUCUUCGGACCAAAGAUUCAUCGUCUUUGGAUGGGCCCGCGUUGGAUUAGCUUGUGGGUAGGGUAAAAGCCUACCAAGGCGACGAUCCAUAGCUGGUCUGAGAGGAUGAGCAGCCACACUGGGACUGAGACACGGCCCAGACCCUUACGGGAGGCAGCAGUGGGGAAUAUUGGACAAUGGGCGAAAGCCUGAUCCAGCAAUGCCGCGUGAGUGAUGAAGGCGUUAGGGUUGUAAAGCUCUUUUACCCGGGAUGAUAAUGACAGUACCGGGAGAAUAAGCUCCGGCUAACUCCGUG